This 244-nucleotide ribosomal RNA is filed under the name uncultured bacterium. Its description in RNAcentral is "partial 16S ribosomal RNA". It matches the Rfam family "Bacterial small subunit ribosomal RNA", at positions 796 to 1041 of the family's 1533-position model. The record is from RNAcentral.
CACGCAGUAAACGAUGAAUACCAGUUCUCCGCCGCGAUCGAGCGGAGGGGGACACAGCGAAAGCGUUAAGUAUUCCACCUGGGGAGUACGCCGGCAACGGUGAAACUCAAAGGAAUUGACGGGGGCCCGCACAAGCGGAGGAACAUGUGGUUUAAUUCGAUGAUACGCGAGGAACCUUACCCGGGCUUGAAUUGCAACCGAAUAAUCGAGAGAUCGAUUAGCCGCAAGGCGGUUGUGAAGGUGC